Molecule: long non-coding RNA, 371 nt
Organism: Argiope bruennichi
Lineage: Eukaryota; Metazoa; Arthropoda; Arachnida; Araneae; Araneidae
Exons: 3
Source: RefSeq, a predicted model, not a curated record
ACCAUUUGUUUAACUGCGGAGAUAAUUCACUAAUAGUCUAAAAGACAAUAACUACUCACGAAAGGUUGGUCAUUUUAGCGCUGUUACAAAUUUCGGUAGAAUUACUGGCUCUCGGAUCUUAACUACGCAAUAUCACUCACUGAAAUUCCAAUAGUAAAAGGGAAGAUAUAACUCGAAUGGAUUGGCGAGAAUUCUCUCCUGAUUUAAAUGCCAUAGAACAUGUGUGGGAUGCUUUUGGGAGACACCUUGCGGUACGAUGACAUCCUCCAGGAAACACGCAACAACUGAAACAGGAAGGAAUGCGUAUUCUUACCUCAAGAACUGUUGGGCAGUCUGGUACUGAGUAUGGAGAGACGAUGCGAAGCAACCAU